RNAcentral lists this ribosomal RNA (1388 nucleotides) under uncultured bacterium. Its description in RNAcentral is "bacterial SSU rRNA". It matches the Rfam family "Bacterial small subunit ribosomal RNA". The record is from RNAcentral.
AGAGUUUGAUCCUGGCUCAGGACGAACGCUGGCGGCGCGCCUAACACAUGCAAGUCGAACGAGCGAUGGAGAGCUUGCUUUCCAGAGCGAGUGGCGAACGGGUGAGUAACGCGUGAGGAACCUGCCUCAAAGAGGGGGACAACAGUUGGAAACGACUGCUAAUACCGCAUAAGCCCACGGGUCGGCAUCGACCAGAGGGAAAAGGAGCAAUCCGCUUUGAGAUGGCCUCGCGUCCGAUUAGCUAGUUGGUGAGGUAACGGCCCACCAAGGCGACGAUCGGUAGCCGGACUGAGAGGUUGAACGGCCACAUUGGGACUGAGACACGGCCCAGACUCCUACGGGAGGCAGCAGUGGGGAAUAUUGCACAAUGGGGGAAACCCUGAUGCAGCGACGCCGCGUGGAGGAAGAAGGUCUUCGGAUUGUAAACUCCUGUUGUUGGGGAAGAUAAUGACGGUACCCAACAAGGAAGUGACGGCUAACUACGUGCCAGCAGCCGCGGUAAAACGUAGGUCACAAGCGUUGUCCGGAAUUACUGGGUGUAAAGGGAGCGCAGGCGGGAAGACAAGUUGGAAGUGAAAUCCAUGGGCUCAACCCAUGAACUGCUUUCAAAACUGUUUUUCUUGAGUAGUGCAGAGGUAGGCGGAAUUCCCGGUGUAGCGGUGGAAUGCGUAGAUAUCGGGAGGAACACCAGUGGCGAAGGCGGCCUACUGGGCACCAACUGACGCUGAGGCUCGAAAGUGUGGGUAGCAAACAGGAUUAGAUACCCUGGUAGUCCACACCGUAAACGAUGAUUACUAGGUGUUGGAGGAUUGACCCCUUCAGUGCCGCAGUUAACACAAUAAGUAAUCCACCUGGGGAGUACGACCGCAAGGUUGAAACUCAAAGGAAUUGACGGGGGCCCGCACAAGCAGUGGAGUAUGUGGUUUAAUUCGACGCAACGCGAAGAACCUUACCAAGUCUUGACAUCCUGUGGACAGACGUAAAAAUAACGUUCUUCCUUCGGGAACCAGAAACAAGGGGGGGCAGGGUUGUCGCCCCCUCCCGGCCCGGAAAAAUUGGGGUUAAAUCCCCCCACCAGAGGCGACCCCUUAUUGUGCGGUUAUUACCCAAAGAAGAAUCUUGGCCCAAAUGCCCUUUGACAAAACAGAGGGAGAGUGGGGAGUAAGGCCAAAACAUAAUGGCCCUUUUUGAAUUUGGGGUCACCACGACCCCCCAAUGGCGGUUUAAAAAAAAGAAAGAAAAAACCCCCAGGGGGGGAGAAAACUCAAAACAACGUCCCAGUUCGGACUGCAGGCUGCAACUCGCCUGCACGAAGUCGGAAUUGCUAGUAAUCGUGGAUCAGCAUGCCACGGUGAAUACGUUCCCGGGCCUUGCACACACCGCCCGUC